Molecule: ribosomal RNA, 335 nt
Filed under: uncultured bacterium
Lineage: Bacteria
Description: partial 16S ribosomal RNA
Rfam family: Bacterial small subunit ribosomal RNA
Source: RNAcentral
CCUACGGGUGGCAGCAGUGGGGAAUAGUGCACAAUGGGGGAAACCCUGAUGCAGCGACGCCGCGUGAGUGAAGAAGUAAUUCGUUAUGUAAAGCUCUAUCAGCAGGGAAGAAAAGGACGGUACCUGAGGAAGAAGCCCCGGCUAACGACGUGCCAGCAGCCGCGGUAAUACGGAGGGGGCAAGCGUUAUCCGGAUUUACGGGGGGUAAAGGGAGCGUAGACGGGAGGGCAAGUCUGGAGUGAAAGGCGGGGGCGCCACCCCCGGACUGCUCGGGAAACGGUACGGCUGGAGUGCAGGAGAGGUCAGUGGAAUUCCUUUUGUAGCGGUUAAUGGCG